RNAcentral lists this ribosomal RNA (459 nucleotides) under uncultured bacterium. Its description in RNAcentral is "SSU rRNA". It matches the Rfam family "Bacterial small subunit ribosomal RNA", at positions 26 to 518 of the family's 1533-position model. The record is from RNAcentral.
AGAAUCAACGCUGGCGGCGUGCCUAACACAUGCAAGUCGAACGAGGAAGUGGAGCAAUCCAUGAGUAAAGUGGCGCACGGGUGAGUAACACGUGACUAACCUACCCUCGAGUGGGGAAUAACUUCGGGAAACCGAGGCUAAUACCGCAUAAAACCUAAGGGUCAAAGGAGCAAUCCGUUUGAGGAGGGGGUCGCGGCAGAUUAGUUAGUUGGCGGGGUAAUGGCCCACCAAGACGAUGAUCUGUAUCCGGCCUGAGAGGGCGCACGGACACACUGGAACUGAAACACGGUCCAGACUCCUACGGGAGGCAGCAGUGGGGAAUUUUGCGCAAUGGGGGAAACCCUGACGCAGCAACGCCGCGUGGAGGAUGAAAUCCCUUGGGAUGUAAACUCCUUUCGAUCGGGAAGAUAAUGACGGUACCGGAGAAGAAGCCCCGGCUAACUUCGCGCCAGCAGCCGC